AUUUCUUUUAACAUAUCAAGAAAUCGAAUUGGCAGUGAAGAAAGAAGUGGGAGGUCGAAAGCCAUCAUUGCCUAUAAUCAAAACUCAUAAACCUAUACGAUGGUUCUUUCUUCAUUGCCAAUUCGACUUCCUGAUAUGUUAAAAGAAAU
Non-coding RNA from Gossypium raimondii (Peruvian cotton), 149 nucleotides. The record is from Rfam. Lineage: Eukaryota; Viridiplantae; Streptophyta; Magnoliopsida; Malvales; Malvaceae.